This 253-nucleotide ribosomal RNA is filed under the name uncultured bacterium. RNAcentral describes it as "partial 16S ribosomal RNA". It matches the Rfam family "Bacterial small subunit ribosomal RNA", at positions 524 to 776 of the family's 1533-position model. The record is from RNAcentral.
UACGUAGGGUCCGAGCGUUGUCCGGAAUUAUUGGGCGUAAAGGGCUCGUAGGCGGUUUGUUGCGUCGGGAGUGAAAUCCUCCAGCUUAACUGGGGGCUUGCUUUCGAUACGGGCAGACUUGAGGCAUGCAGGGGAGAAUGGAAUUCCUGGUGUAGCGGUGAAAUGCGCAGAUAUCAGGAGGAACACCGGUGGCGAAGGCGGUUCUCUGGGCAUGUUCUGACGCUGAGGAGCGAAAGUGUGGGGAGCGAACAGG